AGCAGCCGCGGUAAUUCCAGCUCCAAUAGCGUAUAUUAAAGUUGUUGCAGUUAAAAAGCUUGUAGUUGAAUUUCGGGGUUAGUAGGUUGGUCAUGCCUCUGGUAUGUACUGGUCUCACUGAUUCCUCCUUCCUGAUGAACCGUAAUGCCAUUAAUUUGGUGUUGCGGGGAAUUUGGACUGUUACUUUGAAAAAAUUAGAGUGUUUAAAGCAAGCUAACGCUUGAAUACAUUAGCAUGGAAUAAUGAAAUAGGACGUUCGAUCCUAUUUUGUUGGUUUCUAGGAUUGACGUAAUGAUUAAUAGGGAUAGUUGGGGGCAUUAGUAUUCAAUUGUCAGAGGUGAAAUUCUUGGAUUUAUUGAAGACUAACUACUGCGAAAGCAUUUGCCAAGGAUGUUUUCAUUAAUCAAGAACGAAAGUUAGGGGAUCGAAGACGAUCAGAUACCGUCGUAGUCUUAACCAUAAACUAUGCCGACUAGGGAUCGGAUGAUGUUAAUUUUUUAAUGACUCAUUCGGCGCCUUACG
RNAcentral lists this ribosomal RNA (522 nucleotides) under uncultured Glomeromycotina. Its description in RNAcentral is "SSU rRNA". It matches the Rfam family "Eukaryotic small subunit ribosomal RNA", at positions 569 to 1092 of the family's 1831-position model. Lineage: Eukaryota; Fungi; Glomeromycota. The record is from RNAcentral.